Non-coding RNA from Nerophis lumbriciformis (worm pipefish), 1663 nucleotides. NCBI's taxonomy places the organism in Eukaryota, Metazoa, Chordata, Actinopteri, Syngnathiformes, Syngnathidae. The record is from RefSeq and is a predicted model, not a curated record.
UCUCUUUUAAGUCGUGACGCUGCUUUGCCCACACGACAUCGUACAGGCACACUAUUGGCUAAGAGCCGACCAAUCACAGAGCACGGUGUUCUCUAUCUUCAUCAGCUCCUGUUUACUACAGACGACUUCCAUGUUGGCACUGCUUUUUUUCACAGAAUGUUUGUAUUUCUUUUAAUCCCUAAAAUGUCCUGCGCCUUCCAAAGCUCCUGGCACAAAGGCUAAGCCCCCGAAGAAGUGGUUGACCAUCAAAGAAAAGGUGAACCUCCUCAUUACUAGGGGAAAAGAAGGUAGCUUAGCUACGAGCUACUAUCUACUAACUGCUAUUUCAAAGACAACCCUUGAUUUGCUACAUAAAGGAGGAAAAUAAUCUAAGGACGAUGACAACAACUUUGUUCUCUAUUUGGAAGCGGCCACCGUGAAACCGCCUUAUCAUCAUUUCUCACUUGUUUCCUAUGUCCACUUUGCGCCCGCAGACGCGGCGGCGAUGAUGAAUCUCUGGCUGCUGCGACGUGUCUUCGUUUCUGACAUGUGUGCAAGGACGGGAAUGGAAGAAGUGUCAAAAGAUGGAGCUGUCGACGUCGCCACGGACCAAAAAGGCGGAUGCGCGCAAAUUUUCAGGACUUAUGCAGAUUCCAAAUACAGAUCGGCAGGUACCAGAAGGAGGGAGGAGCCAGGACACUCAGGCCCUGGAGCCAUGAGCCUGAGAGGACAUGGGGAGGUCACUCCAUCUACUGGUGUCACACUCUAAUUCAUCUGUCAGGAGCAACAUGCACACGCACACGCACGCACACACACACACACACACACAUGGACAUAACACACACUACGACUGUACAUACACAAGCUGUUUGGCACGACUGGCAACAACAACACUCAAGACGCUGUAAGAAGUGGAGGUGACUUACCUUGGCGGCUUUUAACAGGAUCUCUCUCUCCUGCUCGUCCUUCCUUUGCUUCUCCAUCCUCUCCAGUUGCUCGAAAAAGCGCAGCUGGGAACGGACGUCCGCCGACUGCUCGUAGCACUCGUCGUCCUGACGGGGGCACAAAGGCGCCAUCAUUGAAACGACCGCAAUCGUGACCUUCUUGACUAUAAGAUCGACCAUGUUCUCUCGACAACAUGUGUCAAACUCAAGGCCCGGGGGGGCAGAUGUGGCCCGCCACUUCAUUUUAUUUGGCCUUCGAAAGCCUGGAAAUAAUACGUAUCAAUAAAGUACUGUAACUUUUCUUACUACCGUAUUUUUCGGACUAUAAGUCGCAGUUUUUUUCAUAGUUUGGCCGGGGGUGCGACUUAUACUCAGGAGCGACUUAUGUGUGAAAUUAUUAACACAUUACCGUAAAAUACCAAAGACUAUUAUUUAGCUCAUUCACGUAAGAGACUAGACCAGGGGUCGGCAACCCGCGGCUCUUUGAUCAGUCUGAUGCGGCUCAGCCGCAUACUUGCCGACCCCCCGCCCGAUUUUCCCGGGAGACUUCCGGAUUUCAGUGCCUCUUUCAGAAAACUCCCGGGAUUAAUCCAUCCAUCCAUUUUCUACCGCUUAUUCCCUUUGGGGUCGCGGGGGGCGCUGGAGCCUAUCUCAGCUACAAUCGGGCGGAAGGCGGGGUACACCCUGGACAAGUCGCCACCUCAUCGCAGGGCCAACACAGAUAGACAGACAACAUUCAC